CUGAUGAGAACCCCAGUCUAACAUUUUUGGAUUGAUACUUACUCCUGAGAAGGAGGUACUGAACCCUCCAGGUGGACUGGACUCAAAAUAUUCUGCAGAGGAAUCAACAGAAGGAGAGAGUGCAAAAGGCAGCUUCACCUCAGACAUGAUUGCAGAUAGACUGGGACAUUCAGACCACAGAAAUGCAAGAAUUAAAUUGGACAGCUUCUAAUAUCAGGUGUGGUGAUUUUCAGAAUUGUAUUAUCUAUUAAAAGUAGCAUCUAAUACUGUGGAUACAACACCAAAAUCUAAAGCUA
Molecule: long non-coding RNA, 296 nt
Filed under: Athene cunicularia (burrowing owl)
Lineage: Eukaryota; Metazoa; Chordata; Aves; Strigiformes; Strigidae
Description: lncRNA (ENSACUG00000003221.1)
Source: RNAcentral